RNAcentral lists this transfer RNA (75 nucleotides) under bacterium ADurb.Bin212. Its description in RNAcentral is "tRNA-Thr". It matches the Rfam family "tRNA". From Rfam's summary of the family: Transfer RNA (tRNA) molecules are approximately 80 nucleotides in length. Their secondary structure includes four short double-helical elements and three loops (D, anti-codon, and T loops). The record is from RNAcentral.
GCCACCUUAGCUCAAUGGUAGAGCAACUGUUUUGUAAACAGUAGGUUGUGGGUUCGAGUCCCUCAGGUGGCUCCA